UACAGAGGGUGCGAGCGUUGUUCGGAAUUAUUGGGCGUAAAGCGCGAGUAGGCGGUCUGUUAAGUCGCGUGUGAAAGCUCCCAGCUCAACUGGGAAAGUGCGCGCGAAACUGGUGGACUUGAGUGCUGGAGAGGGUGGCGGAAUUCCCGGUGUAGAGGUGAAAUUCGUAGAUAUCGGGAGGAACACCAGAGGCGAAGGCGGCCACCUGGAAAGACACUGACGCUGAGAAGCGAAAGCGUGGGGAGCAAACAGG
RNAcentral lists this ribosomal RNA (253 nucleotides) under uncultured bacterium. RNAcentral's name for it is "partial 16S ribosomal RNA". It matches the Rfam family "Bacterial small subunit ribosomal RNA", at positions 524 to 776 of the family's 1533-position model. The record is from RNAcentral.